RNAcentral lists this ribosomal RNA (397 nucleotides) under uncultured bacterium. Its description in RNAcentral is "partial 16S ribosomal RNA". It matches the Rfam family "Bacterial small subunit ribosomal RNA", at positions 523 to 918 of the family's 1533-position model. The record is from RNAcentral.
AUACGUAGGGGGCGAGCGUUGUCCGGAAUGAUUGGGCGUAAAGGGCGCGUAGGCGGCCCGGUAAGUCUGGAGUGAAAGUCCUGUUUUUAAGAUGGGAAUUGCUUUGGAUACUGUCGGGCUUGAGUGCAGGAGAGGUACGUGGAAUUCCCAGUGUAGCGGUGAAAUGCGUAGAGAUUGGGAGGAACACCAGUGGCGAAGGCGACUUACUGGACUGUAACUGACGCUGAGGCGCGAAAGUGUGGGGAGCAAACAGGAUUAGAUACCCUGGUAGUCCACACUGUAAACGAUGAAUGCUAGGUGUAGGGGGUAUCGACCCCUUCUGUGCCGCAGUCAACACAAUAAGCAUUCCGCCUGGGGAGUACGGCCGCAAGGUUGAAACUCAAAGGAAUUGACGGGG